GGGGAUGUAGCUCAUAUGGU
RNAcentral lists this non-coding RNA (20 nucleotides) under Arabidopsis thaliana (thale cress). Lineage: Eukaryota; Viridiplantae; Streptophyta; Magnoliopsida; Brassicales; Brassicaceae. The record is from RNAcentral.